UUAUUGGAUUUCAUUCAAACUUUAGGCCAAAAAAUAACUAAAUAUUAAAUCCUAAAUAAAUCUUAAACAAACCUUAAUCAAAUUCUAACCAAAUCCUAAAUCCUAAAUCAAAUCUUAAAUCAACUCUUAAUCAAAUUCUAAUCUUAAAUCAAACCUUAAUCAAACCCUAAAUCCUAAAUCAAUCUCUAAUCAAAUUAUAAAUCUUAAAUCAAUUCCUAAUCAAAUCUUAAUCUUAAAUCAAAUCCUAACUAAAUCAUAAAGCUUAAAUCAACUCUUAAUCAAAUCCUAAUCCUAAUCUUAAAUCAAACCUUAAUCAAAUAUUAAAUCUUAAAUAAAAUUCUAAUCAAAUCCUAAACCCUAAAUCAAACUCUAAUAAAAUUCUAAAUCCUAAAUCAAAUCCUAACUAAAUCCUAAAUUCUAAAUCAAACUCUAAUAAAAUCCUAACUCUAAUCAAAUCCUAGCCAAAUUCUAAAUCCUAAACCAAAUCCUAACCAAAUCCUAAAUCCUAAAUGAAAUCCUAAUCAAAUCCUAACCAAAUCCUAAUCCUAAAUCAAAUCCUAACCAAAUCCUAAUCCUAAUAAAAUCCUAAUAAAAUCCUAAAUCCUAAACCAAACUCUAACUAAAUCUUAAACUCUAAACCAAAUCCUAACCAAUUCCAAAUAUUUCCUAUAACAGUUUUGAACUUCAAUAAUUAAUAAAUAAACCAUUGAUUUUAACUCAAAAUUUUCAUACUUCUUAACAAUUAAAUUAAUAAAAAUUACAAGAACAAAAAAAAAAAAUAGAAUUAUCAAAUAGAUGAUAACCUAAAAAGCAUGCUCAAGUAUUGGCUGGCCUCCUUUUCUAAUCUUAAUACUAAUCUCCUAGAGCCAAUAUCUCUCUUUUUUAUUAUUUGAUUGAUCUCAAAAUUCUUAUAUACAUAGU
This 921-nucleotide long non-coding RNA is filed under the name Physcomitrium patens. RNAcentral's name for it is "long non-coding RNA (PPAT_LNC012130)". The record is from RNAcentral. Lineage: Eukaryota; Viridiplantae; Streptophyta; Bryopsida; Funariales; Funariaceae.